Molecule: ribosomal RNA, 101 nt
Filed under: Bifidobacterium bifidum
Lineage: Bacteria; Bacillati; Actinomycetota; Actinomycetes; Bifidobacteriales; Bifidobacteriaceae
Source: RNAcentral
CAGGAGAGACGCCCGGUCCCAUUCCGAACCCGGAAGCUAAGGCCUGGCACGGCGAUGGUACUGCACCCGACAGGGUGUGGGAGAGUAGCACGCCGCCGCAC